This 465-nucleotide ribosomal RNA is filed under the name Vreelandella stevensii. RNAcentral's name for it is "partial 16S ribosomal RNA". It matches the Rfam family "Bacterial small subunit ribosomal RNA", at positions 338 to 795 of the family's 1533-position model. The record is from RNAcentral. Lineage: Bacteria; Pseudomonadati; Pseudomonadota; Gammaproteobacteria; Oceanospirillales; Halomonadaceae.
CCUACGGGUGGCUGCAGUGGGGAAUAUUGGACAAUGGGCGAAAGCCUGAUCCAGCCAUGCCGCGUGUGUGAAGAAGGCCUUCGGGUUGUAAAGCACUUUCAGUGGGGAAGAAAGCCUUGGGGCUAAUACCCUCGAGGAAGGACAUCACCCACAGAAGAAGCACCGGCUAACUCCGUGCCAGCAGCCGCGGUAAUACGGAGGGUGCGAGCGUUAAUCGGAAUUACUGGGCGUAAAGCGCGCGUAGGCGGUCUGAUAAGCCGGUUGUGAAAGCCCCGGGCUCAACCUGGGAACGGCAUCCGGAACUGUCGGGCUAGAGUGCAGGAGAGGAAGGUAGAAUUCCCGGUGUAGCGGUGAAAUGCGUAGAGAUCGGGAGGAAUACCAGUGGCGAAGGCGGCCUUCUGGACUGACACUGACGCUGAGGUGCGAAAGCGUGGGUAGCAAACAGGAUUAGAUACCCCAGUAGUC